UACGUAGGUGGCAAGCGUUGUCCGGAAUUAUUGGGCGUAAAGGGCGCGCAGGCGGCGUCGUAAGUCGGUCUUAAAAGUGCGGGGCUUAACCCCGUGAGGGGACCGAAACUGCGAUGCUAGAGUAUCGGAGAGGAAAGCGGAAUUCCUAGUGUAGCGGUGAAAUGCGUAGAUAUUAGGAGGAACACCAGUGGCGAAAGCGGCUUUCUGGACGACAACUGACGCUGAGGCGCGAAAGCCAGGGGAGCAAA
RNAcentral lists this ribosomal RNA (248 nucleotides) under uncultured Dialister sp. RNAcentral describes it as "partial 16S ribosomal RNA". It matches the Rfam family "Bacterial small subunit ribosomal RNA", at positions 524 to 772 of the family's 1533-position model. The record is from RNAcentral. Lineage: Bacteria; Bacillati; Bacillota; Negativicutes; Veillonellales; Veillonellaceae.